UACGAAGGGUGCAACCGUUGCUCGGAAUUACUGGGCGUAAAGCGUGCGUAGGUGGUUUGUUAAGUCUGAUGUGAAAGCCCUGGGCUCAACCUGGGAAUUGCAUUGGAUACUGGCAGGCUAGAGUGCGGUAGAGGAUGGCGGAAUUCCCGGUGUAGCAGUGAAAUGCGUAGAGAUCGGGAGGAACAUCUGUGGCGAAGGCGGCCAUCUGGACCAGCACUGACACUGAGGCACGAAAGCGUGGGGAGCAAACAGG
RNAcentral lists this ribosomal RNA (253 nucleotides) under uncultured bacterium. RNAcentral describes it as "partial 16S ribosomal RNA". It matches the Rfam family "Bacterial small subunit ribosomal RNA", at positions 524 to 776 of the family's 1533-position model. The record is from RNAcentral.